GAUGAACGCUGGCGGCGUGCCUAAUACAUGCAAGUCGAGCGAACAGACGAGGAGCUUGCUCCUCUGACGUUAGCGGCGGACGGGUGAGUAACACGUGGAUAACCUACCUAUAAGACUGGGAUCACUUCGGGAAACCGGAGCUCAUACCGGAUAAUAUAUUGAACCGCAUGGUUCAAUAGUGAAAGACGGUUUUGCUGUCACUUAUAGAUGGAUCCGCGCCGCAUUAGCUAGUUGGUAAGGUAACGGCUUACCAAGGCGACGAUGCGUAGCCGACCUGAGAGGAGGAUGAGGCACACUGGAACGGAGACACGGUCGAGACGCCUACGGGAGGCAGCAGGGGGGAAUAUUGGAGAAUGGGCGAAAGCCUGAGCAAGUCAUGCAGAGUAUGUGAAGAAGGUCUUAGGAUAGUAAAGAAGUUUAGAUGGGAAGGAAGGGCAGUAAGUUAAUAAAUUGCUGUUUGGACGUUACCAAAAGAAUAAGCACCGGCUAACUUCGUG
RNAcentral lists this ribosomal RNA (497 nucleotides) under uncultured bacterium. Its description in RNAcentral is "partial 16S ribosomal RNA". It matches the Rfam family "Bacterial small subunit ribosomal RNA", at positions 28 to 507 of the family's 1533-position model. The record is from RNAcentral.